RNAcentral lists this ribosomal RNA (253 nucleotides) under uncultured bacterium. Its description in RNAcentral is "partial 16S ribosomal RNA". It matches the Rfam family "Bacterial small subunit ribosomal RNA", at positions 524 to 776 of the family's 1533-position model. The record is from RNAcentral.
UACAGAGGGUGCAAGCGUUAUUCGGAAUUACUGGGCGUAAAGCGUGCGUAGGCGGUUAUUUAAGUCGGAUGUGAAAUCCCCGGGCUCAACCUGGGAAUUGCAUUCGAUACUGGAUAGCUAGAGUUUGGCAGAGGGAAGUGGAAUUUCGGGUGUAGCGGUGAAAUGCGUAGAUAUCCGAAGGAACAUCAGUGGCGAAAGCGACUUCCUGGACCAAAACUGACAAUCAGGCACGAAAGCCUGGGGAGCAAACAGG